GAUGAACGCUGGCGGCGUGCCUAAUACAUGCAAGUCGAGCGAACGGACGAGAAGCUUGCUUCUCUGAUGUUAGCGGCGGACGGGUGAGUAACACGUGGAUAACCUACCUAUAAGACUGGGAUAACUUCGGGAAACCGGAGCUAAUACCGGAUGAUAUUUUGAACCGCAUGGUUCAAAAGUGAAAGACGGUCUUGCUGUCACUUAUAGAUGGAUCCGCGCUGCAUUAGCUAGUUGGUAAGGUAACGGAUUACCAAGGCAACGAUGCAUAGCCGACCUGAGAGGGUGAUCGGCCACACUGGAACUGAGACACGGUCCAGACUCCUACGGGAGGCAGCAGUAGGGAAUCUUCCGCAAUGGGCGAAAGCCUGACGGAGCAACGCCGCGUGAGUGAUGAAGGUCUUCGGAUCGUAAAACUCUGUUAUUAGGGAAGAACAUAUGUGUAAGUAACUGUGCACAUCUUGACGGUACCCAAUCAGAAAGCCACGGCUAACUACGUG
This 497-nucleotide ribosomal RNA is filed under the name uncultured bacterium. Its description in RNAcentral is "partial 16S ribosomal RNA". It matches the Rfam family "Bacterial small subunit ribosomal RNA", at positions 28 to 507 of the family's 1533-position model. The record is from RNAcentral.